AACGAACGCUGGCGGCAGGCCUAACACAUGCAAGUCGAACGUGAAGCCACCUUCGGGUGGUGGAAAGUGGCAGACGGGUGAGUAACGCGUGGGAAUCUACCCAAUGGUACGGAAUAACUCAGGGAAACUUGAGCUAAUACCGUAUGUGCCCGAAAGGGGAAAGAUUUAUCGCCAUUGGAUGAGCCCGCGUCUGAUUAGCUAGUUGGUGGGGUAACGGCCCACCAAGGCGAAGAUCAGUAGCUGGUCUGAGAGGAUGAUCAGCCACACUGGGACUGAGACACGGCCCAGACUCCUACGGGAGGCAGCAGUGGGGAAUAUUGGACAAUGGGCGCAAGCCUGAUCCAGCCAUGCCGCGUGAGUGAUGAAGGCCCUAGGGUUGUAAAGCUCUUUCGGCGGGGACGAUAAUGACGGUACCCGCAGAAGAAGCCCCGGCUAACUUCGUG
RNAcentral lists this ribosomal RNA (443 nucleotides) under uncultured Bauldia sp. Its description in RNAcentral is "bacterial SSU rRNA". It matches the Rfam family "Bacterial small subunit ribosomal RNA", at positions 29 to 507 of the family's 1533-position model. The record is from RNAcentral. Lineage: Bacteria; Pseudomonadati; Pseudomonadota; Alphaproteobacteria; Hyphomicrobiales; Kaistiaceae.